Molecule: RNA transcript, 5805 nt
Organism: Sciurus carolinensis (gray squirrel)
Lineage: Eukaryota; Metazoa; Chordata; Mammalia; Rodentia; Sciuridae
Gene: Bend7
Gene name: BEN domain containing 7
Exons: 10
Source: RefSeq, a predicted model, not a curated record
GCAGCCGCGUCCGCAGGCUGAGCCCAGGCGGGCCGCGGCGAGCGCCCGGCCGCUCCGACCCCCGCCGCCGCCGCCGCCGCCGCGCCCUCCCCGCCGCCGCGCCCCCGCUCGGCCCGCUCCCAACGGAAAGUUGGGCUGCGGCGGGCGGCGUUUGGAAACCGCGAGCCGGCAUGAGAGCGGCUCGGGGGGGCGCCUAGGGCACCGGGAGGCGGUGCCGCACGGGGGCAACUUCUCCCGGGAGCCCGCGCCGCCGGCCCCGCGCCUGGAGCCCCCGAGCGGGCUCGCGGUGGUUCCUCCCGUCCCUCGGCCUCCCCCCGCCGAUUUGAGACGCGGACCUUGGUCCCGGCGGCUCCGCGGCGGUGACACGAGCCCGCGCCGCCGCCUCAGCCUCCGCCGCCUUCUCAGCCCCGCCGCCGCCUUUCCCGCACUAUGGAGUUCUCCGAGAGGAAAAGAAGCAGGAAAUCCCAGAGCUUCAAACUGGUGAGCCGAGAUUAUCACCAUGAGGUAUAUAAGAUCUCAGAAUUCAGCAACGAUGUUAAUGGGGAGGCCAAAGAGACACAACCCAUUUUUUUAGGAGAUGAAGGCAUGGAAAUUAAAAAACAAAUUACAGGGAUGAGAAGAUUACUGAAUGACAGCACUGGGAGGAUAUAUCAGCGUGUUGGCAAAGAAGGAGAAAAACUAAAAGAAGAGCCCCAGGAUUUGGAUUUAGCCUGGCCUCAGCGUUUGAACUCCCCUGCUGAGGCCCCACAGAGCCUCCAUUCUUCACGUGGUGUGUGGAAUGAGCUACCACCCCAAAGCGGGCAGUUCUCAGGGCAGUAUGGCACCCGUUCUAGAACCUUCCAGAGUCAGCCCCACACCACUGCAAACUCCAACGGAGAACUUCCAGUGGUGAAUUCAUCAGUUGGAUCAAACUGCUGUACUUGUAACUGCCAGUCAACGUUGCAGGCCAUUCUCCAAGAACUCAAGACCAUGAGAAAAUUAAUACAAAUUCAAGCAGUUGGAACUCAAAACAGACAACAACCCCCAAUUUCCCUUAUAUGCUCCCAGCGAACUGCUGUCUCACGCAAGAGAAAUAAAAAGAAAAAAGUGCCCCCCAAAACCGUCGAACCUGUUACUGUGAAACAGAAGCCCAAUGUGUUAGAAAUUGAGAAGAAGCCAACAGCAGGGGCCUUGGAGCAGUCUGGUCCCCAAACCUCAGAGCUCACCUCCACCAAGGAGAGCCACGUCCUGGGAUUUGGCAUUGUUCUCGAAUCACCUUCUUCAGAUCCAGAAGUGCAACUUGCUGAAGGCUUUGAUGUAUUUAUGCCUAAGUCUCAGCUGGACUCUAUACUGUCAAACUAUACUCGCUCAGGAAGCCUUCUCUUUAGAAAACUGGUGUGUGCAUUUUUUGAUGACAAGACUUUGGCUAACUCCUUACCCAAUGGGAAGAGGAAAAGAGGACUCAAUGACAACCGGAAAGGACUAGACCAAAAUAUUGUGGGUGCAAUAAAAGUCUUUACAGAAAAGUACUGUACUGCUAACCAUGUGGAUAAACUUCCUGGCCCAAGAGACUGGGUACAGAUUCUACAAGAUCAAAUUAAACUGGCCAGAAGAAGGUUAAAAAGAGGUUCAGAUUUUACAACUUGAUUGUCACCAGGGAAGAAAGAGUGUGAACUUGUUGAUACAGACAGAUGUUACAAUUAAGUUUAGCAGAGGUAACUGAUGGUGAUGAAAGACUGGACGGCAUUUCUCUACCACCAACAGGGAAGAAAGCCUGAGGCCCAGAAACGCUAAAUGACUUCCCCAAGGUCUCAAGAGCUGAUUGAUGGCCUGGCCGGAACUCAGGCCCCUCAACUCCCAGCCAUGACACCAUAGAGCUUUCUUAUACCUAAGCCAAAGCCAGCUUUUCUCCGCAUGUUUCUUAAAGAUCCUAAGAGAUGAUGGCUGUACUAAUCCAUUUAGGAUUCCAUUUCAGUGUCUCACAAUCUUCACAGUUAGAAUGUUCAUUGUCAGUCUACCCAAAGUUUGCCACAGUCUAAGCUCAUUUAUUCAAAUCCUCUCUCAAAUUUUGCCCAAAGCUGUGAGGUCAUAAUGAAGAAAGUAGUAGAACACACCUGCAGGUCUUUUCAUUAGACUGCUAAUAGAGAUUUGUUACAAAUUACUAAAGAGCAUGAUAAAUAAAAAUGUUCAUUACUUUAGAAAAGGGAGAAGUCACAGAUUGGUGCUCAAAUUUUGCCAUAAUAAAAUCAAAUAAUCUCAAUAGUCCAGCAUGUCCCUUGGUUGCCUCUCUAUGGUAAAAUCCCCAGUCUGGUUGGCUUCUUUGAAUGCAGCACUAUUGCUAAUGUCCCUCCUUCCAUGUGCCCUGACACGACAUCUGGGCAAGUAGAUCCACCUUCUUGCAAAUGUAGUUUCAUCCUCAAGAGUGGAGCCUCACUGGUCAGAACCACAAAAACACCCAGGGACUCUGGUCCUUCAUUAUCUCAUUUACCUGAUCUGGCAACAGUAGGUCCUUUUUAAAGAUUCAAGAAUGCCUUUAUUAUCCUUUUAAGAUCUUUUUUAUCCUUCCAAUUGUGUGUGUGUUAGGGAGAAGCAAGGAAAAGAAGGAAAUUCUUUAGGGUUGCUAUGAAUCUGAAGUGGCCAGGGCAGGGUUACAGUCAGAUGCUCAAAUGACUUUUGUUUCAGCCUACUACAGUUAAGCAACCUUUUAUUUGUGUGGCUUUAACAAAAAUGGAUACAGAUUCUGUAGUGAAGAAAUGUGUUUUCUUAAUUUAUUGCCUCUUCACCCUGUUCUAAAGCCUUUUGAGCAACUCCUGGGAAUCAGUACUGCAUUCGGGUUUGCUGGAUAAAUUCCUGCACUCAGACUAACAUGAGGCCAAAGCACUUACCUAAAUGCUGCAGCACAGAUACAGAGAGAGUUCUGGAUAAGGAAGAAAAAGUCCCCAAGAUAUGGGAACAAUUGGGGUUUUAAAAAAAAGUAUAAAGUAAAAUCAAAACAGUACAUUUUAAAACUUCAAGUGGGACUUCUGAAUUUGAAAAGGGGUGAUGUCCAUCUGAGCUUAGCAAUCUAUGUCACAAAUUGGCAUUAAUUUACAUACUUUUCUCUUAAGAAAUCUAAGGAAGAAAAUUUAAAUUAAUGUUACCACCCAUAGACAACCAUCAUUACACAUUUUUCCCAGACUUUUCUCUAUCUUGAUUUUGUUUAUGUAAUAGAGAUCAAAUACAUAAAAUUUUAUUUCCAGAGCAUUUGAGAUUUUACCUUAAGAAGCAUUCUCCUAUUUUGUUACAAAUCUUUAUACACGUUGUUAGGUGCAUGAUGCUCCGUUUUGUAGGUAAAUCACACUUCAUUUAGCCUUUUUCUGUUACUGGACAAUGGGCAUACUCUAAUAGUAAUAUGUAUUCAUAGGACUUCCUGUAAAAUAUAAUCAUUAAAAGUUUCUAAUUCCUAAAUUGCUCAUUUAGGCACAACUAAAACCUUGGCUAAAAACUUGGCAACUUCACUCUACAACACAGGCACCUAAAAGUCAAUUCCCCACUUGUCCAGAACACCAGCUCAGGCCUUGUGAUAGAAUGUACAGCUGUCCCUUAGAGAAGUGACUUUCCCCCUUCCAUUGUCUUAUCUCUGUUAUAGGUAAUAUAUUUGACACCAAGCGAGAAAACACAGAGAAUAUAGAACCAGGUUUCAUUGCCUAAGCUCUCAUUUUAGUGACCUUGUCAUUAGCAUAUGUAACUCUUCCAUUUGAGUUUCCUCAAAAAUCCAUAUAGAAUUUCAUGUGCCUGCAAAGUGUGGGUGUUCUGUGAAGUUUACCUGUCAUGUUAGAAUAAUUUCAUAUGCUUCCCUUAUAAUGAAGCCUCCAAUUUGGUAUAAGAUUUUUAAAAAUUGUUUUUAGACUUGAUUUGUUACCCUUCAAAAGUCCAGCACAUGAUCCAGUAAGUUCAUUGUCAUAAAGAAGCAGUUCUUCCUUUUUUUAUUCAUUCAUAACCUUAAUGUGAAUAUGCAUAGUUUUGAAGCAUAUUUAUUUUCACAUAAAUUGCCUAGCUGCAGUAUAAAGGAGAAUGUUUUUUUCCAGGACUGAGGGAGCAGUUGUAAACACCAAAACUAAUUAGACCUUCUUCAGCUCAGAAGAAAAAGUUGUUCUGGGAGACAAGAUAGCUCUGACCUAUAAGAUGAAAUCAUUUAUGACAUCAGUGCACCCCACCCCCCAAAAAUUUGUAGCUAAAUUCAGUGCAAGUGAUGUGUGAAUUUUUAGGAAUGAAAACCCUUUCAUAUGAAUUGUGUCAACACAGAGACAAAAUAACUAAUUCAAAGGUGAAAAACUCAAAGUAACCAGUUCUACUUGAUACAUAACAACCAUUUAAACAAAUGACUUUAACUGAGUGAUCCAGGAUUUCAGUUGUGUGGUAACCAGCCACAAGUGUAUACAUGCUUAAUGUUUGGUACACUUCCUGGUACACUUGCCCUCUACUUUGUAUAGAACCAACAUAAGAAACUGAAUUUAUUUGAAAGAGAUAUCUUCCCAUGUGGGUAUCUGUUUUACAGAAAUAUUUGCCUCCAGAUUUCGUUUUUGCUUUGAAUAUUUGGCAUUUGAUCCAAAGGUCAAAUAUUGGCAUGAAAGAAAUUUGACUGUACAUCCACCAGCUCCCAGCAGGGUUAAAACAUGUGACAGUUAGAUACCUUUCCCUAGCACUUAUUUCAUCUACCUGUUGGAGCUAACAGUUCCUGUAGAGGACAGUCCCACCCUUGGCUUUGCAGGUGAGGAAACUGAAGAGUGAGGGUGAGUGGUUGCCCUGAUCCAGGGAGCCCUUUGGUGACUCGUGGGGCACAGAACCCAAGUGUCCUUACUACCCUAUCCAAGGGCUCUGAAAAACUAAGCCUAGAGACAGAAAGGACACUCUGGGAUAUGUCAGUAUUCCACCGAGACCAGCUACUCAACUGAAGAUAAUGCACAACAUCCCCGUAAUGUGACAGAAAACUGGCUUUAGGUGUGGCUUGUGGAAUCUGUCUACUAGACAGUUAUAUCUCAUAUAUGUGUGUCUUUUAUUUUUCUUCUUUUUGAAGCUAAAAGGAAGGGUCAGAGAAAUGAUUUCCUUUGUAUCUUUUAGUUAGCCUUUUCCACUCCAGUCAGUAAUCCCUUUCCUGAAACCAGUCCCUUUGUUGUAUCAAGUGGUCUGAUGAACUACUGUGUCUAAACCAGGGCUUUUGUUUUUCUGCAGCGAAUGCUUAAAAAUUUGUCUUCUGCCUCCCAGAAUGAAAUAUGUCUCAAGGGAAUAGAAAAGAUUAAUUAGUGACCUUUCACUCUAUUAAACUAUGAUGAAUAUGUCUCUAAUAAAGGUAGAAACAUUUACUCACAACUGUGGGUUUGUUAAAUAUGCACCAUGAACCUUCAGAAGCACUUCCUUCCAAGCCUGGGUGACAGCUUGGAAUUUUUAAUACUUGAGGAGAGAGAGGGAAUAUUCAACUCACAGAUAUGUGCAAUGGAUUCACAAAUUGGAAAUAUAUAUCAAAACUGUAACCGCAAAAUCAUAUUUUAUAAAUUAAAAUUGUUUUCGUGUUAACUUACUGUGACUACUGUUCAGACUUUGUUCAGAAAUCCUUUUUAUAGGCUUUCUUAGCAAAAAAAAAAAUCCAUAUCUAUGGAUAAUGUCUCAAUCUCUGUAUAUAUGUUUUAUUAAUAUGUAAAUAUUCUGAUUUUUUAAAAUUACUAUGUUCUUUAAGAAAAAAGUCAAUGCAAGGCUAGUUGUGAAAAUGGUGUAUAACAUUGUGUUGUGAUAUCAACUCCCAAGAUGCUCUUUAUGUCCAUUCUGGAAGACUACAAUAAAUUACUUUAA